Molecule: ribosomal RNA, 253 nt
Filed under: uncultured bacterium
Lineage: Bacteria
Description: partial 16S ribosomal RNA
Rfam family: Bacterial small subunit ribosomal RNA
Source: RNAcentral
UACGAGGGGGGCUAGCGUUGUUCGGAAUCACUGGGCGUAAAGGGCGCGUAGGCGGCCGAUCAAGUCGGGGGUGAAAGCCUGUGGCUCAACCACAGAAUGGCCUUCGAUACUGGUUGGCUCGAGACCGGAAGAGGUGAGUGGAACUGCGAGUGUAGAGGUGAAAUUCGUAGAUAUUCGCAAGAACACCAGUGGCGAAGGCGGCUCACUGGUCCGGUUCUGACGCUGAGGCGCGAAAGCGUGGGGAGCAAACAGG